This 253-nucleotide ribosomal RNA is filed under the name uncultured bacterium. Its description in RNAcentral is "partial 16S ribosomal RNA". It matches the Rfam family "Bacterial small subunit ribosomal RNA", at positions 524 to 776 of the family's 1533-position model. The record is from RNAcentral.
UACGAAGGGGGCAAGCGUUACUCGGAAUUACUGGGCGUAAAGCGCGUGUAGGCGGUCCGGUAAGUCCGCUGUGAAAGUCGGGGGCUCAACCCUCGGAUGCCGGUGGAUACUGUCGGGCUUGAGUACGGAAGAGGCGAGUGGAAUUCCUGGUGUAGCGGUGAAAUGCGCAGAUAUCAGGAGGAACACCAAUUGCGAAGGCAGCUCGCUGGGACGUUACUGACGCUGAGACGCGAAAGCGUGGGGAGCAAACAGG